UACGUAGGGUGCAAGCGUUGUCCGGAAUUAUUGGGCGUAAAGAGCUCGUAGGCGGUUUGUCGCGUCUGCUGUGAAAGCUCGGGGCUCAACUCCGAGCUUGCAGUGGGUACGGGCAGACUAGAGUGCGGUAGGGGAGACUGGAAUUCCUGGUGUAGCGGUGGAAUGCGCAGAUAUCAGGAGGAACACCGGUGGCGAAGGCGGGUCUCUGGGCCGUAACUGACGCUGAGGAGCGAAAGCAUGGGGAGCGAACAGG
This 253-nucleotide ribosomal RNA is filed under the name uncultured bacterium. RNAcentral describes it as "partial 16S ribosomal RNA". It matches the Rfam family "Bacterial small subunit ribosomal RNA", at positions 524 to 776 of the family's 1533-position model. The record is from RNAcentral.